GUGUAAUGGAAAAAGCUACUUGAACUCGAAGUACUAGAAUGUGAUAUGGAAAAGUAUUAGACCAGUGGCCCGCGGACAUCUUUAGACCGGCUUCUUCUGCGAAAAAGUCUGUGUGGGGAAGUCUCACGUCCUGUCCAUGGCCGCUUGUUUGUACACCCGUCGAGCCACUCACCUCCCAGGCAACGCUUCUGUCAUCACGUCAACGAUUGCAGCGUAAGUGCAGCUUUGACACCUACUGUAGCAACGGAGCAGUUAAUCAAGUUUCUAACCUCCAUUAACUUGGCGUGGAAGCUGCUUUCUUACGUUCACCGGAGUCACUGACGUGAGACGGCAUGCUUGACUGGCGUCGGUAGGAAGCUCCUGGUCAGAGGACGCAGCAACCUUCUCCACUGCUUUCGUAUAAACUGGCAGCCACCUUCCAUCCAAUCCCCCACCAACACUUUAAUAAGCUAAUGGUGGACGAUUUUGUGUUUUGACUGCUGACAGAUCAAAAUGCAGCUUACAACGUUGACACACCCGGUAUUCACGUGGAAUGAACAGUUUGUCUCAAGCUUUUACGUUUUGCUGUCCACGCGCGUCCUCCAUCAGAAGACAAUGGACGAACAAGACUGCCAACGUUCUGCUCAUGUCCAUUUUACCAUUCUUUUAGUGAGAUGUUAUCCAAGCUGGACCCUGGAAUGGACUCGUGGACAUGUGAGUGAAAGUGAAAUUUGCACCCGACACAGCUCGCCUGUCGUUGCAUCGUCAUGCCUGGGAUGGUCGCCUUGAGGAGAGGAGAGGAGAGCAGGUGGACCAUGCAGCAGCUGCCCAGGUAGCUAAGAGGCAGAGAGAUCGAUUCUAACAGUGCAAUUGCUUCCGUCAAGUGAUUGCUCUCUUCCGCUCAUACCGCCUCCACCACGGGUAGUCAUCACAGGUGCACCUAUACAUCAGAAUCGCGAUACGUCGAUAAUUGACGUGGAGAUACCGUGUAAUGGACAGAAAAUUAAAAAAAAA
Long non-coding RNA from Pomacea canaliculata, 993 nucleotides. RefSeq lists it as uncharacterized. Lineage: Eukaryota; Metazoa; Mollusca; Gastropoda; Architaenioglossa; Ampullariidae. The record is from RefSeq and is a predicted model, not a curated record. The transcript has 3 exons.